This 401-nucleotide ribosomal RNA is filed under the name uncultured bacterium. RNAcentral's name for it is "bacterial SSU rRNA". It matches the Rfam family "Bacterial small subunit ribosomal RNA", at positions 355 to 773 of the family's 1533-position model. The record is from RNAcentral.
UAGGGAAUAUUGGUAAUGUGCGAAAGCGCGAACCAGCAACGCCGCGUGCACGAUGAAGGCCUUCGGGUCGUAAAGUGCUUUUAGAGAGGAUGAGGAAGGACAGUACUUUCUGAAUAAGCCUCGGCUAACUACGUGCCAGCAGCCGCGGUAAAACGUAGGAGGCUAGCGUUAUCCGGAUUUACUGGGCGUAAAGCGCAUGCAGGUGGUUUUGUAAGUUGGAUGUGAAAACUCCUGGCUUAACUGGGAGAGGUCGUUCAAAACUACAAGACUUGAGAUUGGUAGAGGAAAAUGGAAUUCCGGGUGUAGUGGUGAAAUGCGUAGAUAUCCGGAGGAACACCAGUGGCGAAAGCGGUUUUCUGGACCAAUUCUGACACUCAGAUGCGAAAGCUAAGGUAGCAAAC